GCUGGGCUUGGUAGCGUGAGCCUGUAACCCGAGUGGGAGCAUUAAGAUGGCGGAACGAUUGGGCUUGCUCUGAUGGCUGGGCUUGGGGUGCUAUCUCCUGGCCUGCCCGUUCCAAGUGGUGAGAUGGGUUGUGAAGUCUCUGCUAAAGUGGAGGCGUCUCGGCCCUUAGAUUGGAGGGCACCGCGUGAGGCUGGCUUCACAGAGCAGCGAAAACCUCUUUCUCUCUGCAGUGGAAGGAUAACAGGCCGGUGCAACCUUGGUCCGCUAUAGCCUGAUGGGCCGCCCAACUUGAACCACCAUCUUC
Non-coding RNA from Ipomoea nil (Japanese morning glory), 304 nucleotides. It matches the Rfam family "Plant signal recognition particle RNA". Lineage: Eukaryota; Viridiplantae; Streptophyta; Magnoliopsida; Solanales; Convolvulaceae. The record is from Rfam.